AAUNCUUUAUGCGUCAAAAGGAUUCGUCUGCCCAAGGAUGGGUCUGCGGCCUAUCAGGUAGUAGUGGGUGUAAUGUACCUACUAGCCAGCGACGGGUACGGGUUGUGAGAGCAAGAGCCCGGAGAUGGAUUCUGAGACAUGAAUCCAGGCCCUACGGGGCGCAGCAGGCGCGAAAACUUUACAAUGCGGGAAACCGUGAUAAGGGGACACCGAGUGCCAGCAUCAUAUGCUGGCUGUCCGGAUGUGUAAAAUACAUCCGUUAGCAAGGGCCGGGCAAGACCGGUGCCAGCCGCCGCGGUAACACCGGCGGCCCGAGUGGUGAUCGUGAUUAUUGGGUCUAAAGGGUCCGUANCCGGUUUGGCCAGUCCUCCGGGAAAUCUGAUAGCUCAACUAUUAGGCUUUCGGGGGAUACUGCCAGACUUGGAACCGGGAGAGGUAAGAGGUACUACAGGGGUAGGAGUGAAAUCUUGUAAUCCCUGUGGGACCACCUGUGGCGAAGGCGUCUUACCAGAACGGGUUCGACGGUGAGGGACGAAAGCUGGGGGCACGAACCGGAUUAGAUACCCGGGUAGUCCCAANCCGUAAACGAUGCUCGCUAGGUGUCAGGCAUGGCGCGACCGUUNUCUGGUGCCGUA
RNAcentral lists this ribosomal RNA (635 nucleotides) under uncultured archaeon Cas20#3. Its description in RNAcentral is "bacterial SSU rRNA". It matches the Rfam family "Archaeal small subunit ribosomal RNA", at positions 174 to 805 of the family's 1478-position model. The record is from RNAcentral.